UACGUAGGGGGCGAGCGUUGUCCGGAUUUAUUGGGCGUAAAGAGCUCGUAGGCGGUUCGAUAAGUCGGAUGUGAAAUCUCCACGCUCAACGUGGAGGGGCCAUUCUAUACUGUCGUGACUCGAGUCCGGUAGGGGAGUGUGGAAUUCCCGGUGUAGCGGUGAAAUGCGCAGAGAUCGGGAGGAACACCCGUAGCGAAGGCGGCACUCUGGGCCGGUACUGACGCUGAGGAGCGAAAGCGUGGGGAGCAAACAGG
Molecule: ribosomal RNA, 254 nt
Filed under: uncultured bacterium
Lineage: Bacteria
Description: partial 16S ribosomal RNA
Rfam family: Bacterial small subunit ribosomal RNA
Source: RNAcentral